GGCGAUUAACUCUGUUGACCUAGAGCAUCCCGUUGCAAACGGGAGGGUCGGGGGUUCGACUCCCUCAUCGCCCA
This 74-nucleotide transfer RNA is filed under the name Carboxylicivirga marina. Its description in RNAcentral is "Carboxylicivirga sp. N1Y132 tRNA-Cys". It matches the Rfam family "tRNA". From Rfam's summary of the family: Transfer RNA (tRNA) molecules are approximately 80 nucleotides in length. The record is from RNAcentral. Lineage: Bacteria; Pseudomonadati; Bacteroidota; Bacteroidia; Marinilabiliales; Marinilabiliaceae.